GAAGCUCACAGAGGACUCUUUGCCUACAGGCUAGAGGCAGUCUGAAACCCAGCUGUUUCAACUUUCAUUAUCUUGUCUCUUUAUAUCUGGAAGUUAUUUUUUAAAUAACAAUUCUUCCCCCCAUCCCAUCCCCUAUAUCUUUAAUUAGGCCAUUCAACCAACUUUGUGGUGACUAUCCUUUUACCCUCCAAUCGGUCUAAAGACUACUGGAUUGCUAAGGGAUCAGCUUUGCUCUGCCAACUGAAUGAGUGAACAAAUGCCACAUUAGUCCAGAGGUCUUCCCUGAUGGAGGGGAAAGUUUGACCAAUUUACAUUGGAGCAAAAUGAUGUUACUUCUGAUUUGACUUAAGGUAGUAAGUAAGUAUGGCUGUUUCUCUUAUGACUUAAAAUAAAGUGUUCUGAGUUCUUUCUGUUAGUAAUCCAGGCUUUGAUGUGAAGACGGUGGGUUCUGCACCCACCUAUUAAACCUGUUCCUUCAUCCAUGUGAGAGUCAGGCCUCUUCCCAUCAGUAACCUGAGGGACCCACUGGAAGAGUCAGGACUUAUCCCCUCACCUACACAGGCUCCCUUCCUCAUCACACUCUUAUGAAAGGUCAAUGUGUACUUUAAUCACAUAGCCCUGGGUGCUUCUGUUUCUAGACUAAUUAAGGCUCUCAGAACCCAGCACCUGGGGAGUGAAUUCAGUGGUUGCAACAACUGGUAAAGCAAAUGAGCAGGAAGAUAAGAUCUUGGCCAUGGUGCCAGUUACCUGACUCUAUGAGGUUAUAUUACAAACCUUGGAAGGGCCUUCAUUUUCAUAAAAGUGCAGGCUGCUCCUGCCCAAGUACAGAGGAAUUUUCCUCCUUUAUUUUAAUAUGAACCUGGGUGAAAACUAACCAAGUCCCCACCAGGUAUGUUUGAGCCCAUCACCUCAAAAGCAGAGGUUGUUGGCCCAGUGAAUAAGUGGAGCAGCCCAUUUUGAGAAACAUUUUAUGCCAGCCCUUCCAACAAGGAUCAUUGCUUCCUUGGCCAUAACAUAAUCCAGGAAAUUGGGGAAACCACACAUAUGAGCCUCUGGAAAAAGCCACACCACCCUCUUACAAAAUGUGGGAGGAAUAGGAUCAACCACAGUGAUCCUACUGUCCCAUUUUAUCUCUGCCCCCUACCUUUAUCUCCACUUCUGACAAAAUUAACUCAAGGACUUGAGUGGGACCAAUAAGAAGUAGUUGUGUUUGCUCCAAAUCUGGUUUAGGAUAAAUUUGAUUGUCUGGGCUUGUAGCUUUGACUUCCCUUCCUUUCCUGAGGCUUUCUUGUGAGCUCAUUCUCAAUCAACUUGACUCAAGUUGCAAAAAAGUAUGGAGUCCCAUUUCUAUCAGAGUUCAAUGCAAAGACUACUCUUGGGUAUUUCAAGCAUAAAUAGGAGCCAACAAAGGCACUUCUACAGCUACAGAAGUCAGAGGGUCAAUAUCAGGCACCAUGGAAGCUAUAAUCCAAAGUCAGAAAGCUACAGGAAAGUGUCAACCUCAUAGGUGCUCCACACCCAUGAAGGUGACCAGAGUAUGAAGCAAAGCCUGGCCACUGCACAAACUUAUGUCUUCUGGAGACUGCAUGAUUGCUGCCACCAAUGAAGAAAAAGACACUCUGCCCACUCCUGCUUUCCAAACCUUACUCAUUGUGUCUCAUUAGGAGAAUCUAAAUCAUAGCAGCAAGGAAAUCUGGAAGUUUUUAGCCCUCCUACCUCCUAUAGUACACGGGUUACAAAAUGAAACAAAGGAUCCUAAGUGCUAUUGCACUACUUUUGUUAAGGCCACAAAAAUGAUUGAGAAUGAGCUCACAAGAAAGCCUCAUGAAAGGAAGGAAAGGCAAAGCUACAAGCCCAGGCAAUCAAGCUUACUCUAAACCAGAUUUGGAACAAACACAACUACUUCUUAUUGGUCCCACUCAAGUCCCAAGCAGACCUACUUGGAGUUUUGUGAGCUACUCAGAGGCCUAGGAGGACCAGAAGGGAACCUUGCCACAGGGAGGAGAUCCUGGUCUGAAAUUUGGGGAUUAGAAGAAGAUAGAUGAUCUGGAGAGGGUGUAACGUUCCCAUUUCAGACACAAUUAGGGCAGUUCUGCAAUUA
RNAcentral lists this long non-coding RNA (2101 nucleotides) under Marmota monax (woodchuck). The record is from RNAcentral. Lineage: Eukaryota; Metazoa; Chordata; Mammalia; Rodentia; Sciuridae.